GGGCAGAUAGCUCAAUGGGUAAGAGCACUUGCUUUGCAAGCAUCCCGGGACCCAUGUAAAACAAAACAAAACAAAACAAAACAGGUGUGUCUGCUCA
This 97-nucleotide transfer RNA is filed under the name Mesocricetus auratus (golden hamster). The record is from Rfam by way of RNAcentral. Lineage: Eukaryota; Metazoa; Chordata; Mammalia; Rodentia; Cricetidae.